This 740-nucleotide ribosomal RNA is filed under the name uncultured bacterium. RNAcentral's name for it is "bacterial SSU rRNA". It matches the Rfam family "Bacterial small subunit ribosomal RNA", at positions 8 to 761 of the family's 1533-position model. The record is from RNAcentral.
AGGGUUUGAUCAUGGCUCAGGAUGAACGCUGGCGGCGUGCUUAACACAUGCAAGUCGAACGAGGUCCAUGGAGCUUGCUCCGGAAGACCUAGUGGCGAACGGGUGCGUAACACGUGAGAAACCUGCCCCGGUCUCUGGAAUAACAGUUGGAAACGACUGCUAAUACCGGAUAUCACCGGUGCGCCACAUGGUGCGCCGAUGAAAGAUUUAUCGGAUUGGGAGGGUCUCGCGGCCUAUCAGCUAGUUGGAGAGGUAACGGCUCACCAAGGCAUCGACGGGUAGCUGGUCUGAGAGGAUGAUCAGCCACACUGGGACUGAGACACGGCCCAGACUCCUACGGGAGGCAGCAGUGGGGAAUCUUGCACAAUGGGCGCAAGCCUGAUGCAGCAACGCCGCGUGCGGGAAGAAGGCCCUAGGGUUGUAAACCGCUUUCAGUAGGGAAGAAAAUGACGGUACCUACAGAAGAAGGUGCGGCCAACUACGUGCCAGCAGCCGCGGUGACACGUAGGCACCAAGCGUUAUCCGGAUUUAUUGGGCGUAAAGAGCUCGUAGGCGGUUUGGUAAGUCGGGUGUGAAAACUCUGGGCUCAACCCAGAGAGGCCACCCGAUACUGCUAUGACUAGAGUACGGUAGGGGAGCGGGGAAUUCAUGGUGUAGCGGUGAAAUGCGCAGAUAUCAUGAGGAACACCAGCGGCGAAGGCGCCGCUCUGGGCCGUAACUGACGCUGAGGAGCGAAAGCA